Long non-coding RNA from Carya illinoinensis, 2111 nucleotides. RefSeq lists it as uncharacterized. Lineage: Eukaryota; Viridiplantae; Streptophyta; Magnoliopsida; Fagales; Juglandaceae. The record is from RefSeq and is a predicted model, not a curated record. The transcript is spliced from 2 exons.
AAAUGAUGUACAUUCAUUUCUUUAGCAUGCUUAUACACAAAUCAGCACGAAGGAGGGCCAAUCCCAGCUUCUCAAAUCUUAUAAUGCAGCCGCUACAACAGAGAGUAAAGAUGAAGAGAAGUGAGAAAAACUAAGUACAUUGAGGUGAAUUGGGAAGUCUAAAAACUAAUGGCCACAAGGGAUGCUUUAUCCUGCAUGAAUGAAAUUAAGAAAUCAUAGCUUAAACCUUUUUGUCUCUUUAGUAAGACUUUAACUGCAACAAAAAUUAAAUUUCUAACCCCUUUUCCUCUCCUAGAGAUGCUCUGUCUUUCUCAUUUGAGGGAUGCAGCCAAGUACUUAACCUUUCCAGCAGCACCUCUUUAAUAGGGGUUUGCUCUCCCAAAAAAUUCUGGUACAACAAAGUAUGAUAAUGCUUUUUACUACACCUCCCAAAUCACGUGUAUUAGAAAUUCUAAUCGCAGCCUUACUUUGCUCACUUUUGUUGAGAUGCAUACCCAUUGGCAAAGGUUAAAUAAAGUCUCCCCUCUUGGUACCAGCAUGGCCAUGGUGGUCCACAACACAUUCUUUUUAUUCUUUUCGUAUUGGAAAAUGCUACUGCUACCGUUUUAUCUUCCCGUUUUUGCUUACCGUUUGACAUGGCUAUUCCAUUGUGGCAUUCUUUUUUUUUUUUUUUUUUUUUUUUUUUUUUUUUUUUUUUUUUCUUGUUUGAAACUCAUGAUACCUGCAUCUCGUGAUAGCCAACCCCUGCACUUCGUCAUACCUCCAACCACCCCACCCCAAAAACCCAACUCCGACUGGCACAUUUCUAGCGCCGUCAAGCUCCCCUCAAACAAGCUCACUUCGUCUCCCCUCUGCAUUUUGUCUCCCCUCCACUUUAUUCUGUAGCCAUGUAGCGGAACUCUCUCUCAUCUUGGAAUCAAAGCAAAGAGACAAAGCUCGAUCGAGAACAUAAGAAAAUGAUUUAUUGCUUUCUCACGCAGGACUAUAAAAUCCAAAUCUUUAUCCCAAAAAGAAAAUAGCAAGUUCUGGAACUCACGUACCGAAAACGGAAAAAGAUUUUCCGGAAUUUUAGAUCCGACUUCCGAUAGGUCAAUAUAUCCAGUCGUCGAAGGGCUAUUAUUGGGGAAUAAUCUGAUACAAGUUCUGAAAUAUCAUAACCUGAAGGGAGCUUCGUGUACAGUCUUCCACAAACCCCGACAGAUUCGCCCCCUCCUUCGGGAGACAGGAGACGAGUAAAAAGAUGAUGAAAAGUAUUUCUGAAUGAGCAAAUGGCACCAACACCGCAGGCCAGAAGGCCAAGCAGCCUGACAGCAACUCCAAGUUGCACCCCAAUUGCAAAGCAAUCAUUUCAAGCAAUUUGGUGGAUGGAUGACAAAAGAAUACUGAAGAAGAAUGAUUUUCAAACACAAACCUUCUGUAUCACACUGAUAGGACUUGUUUGUCAAUUGUCACUGCAAAAUUCGGCCUCUAUCACACAACCAUAAUUACCAAAGUCUAGAUAACCUAUAAUUCAAAUUUCCACAAAACAGGUGCCUGAUCAUUUCCCCCUAGAAUAGGUGCAUGCAAGAACAUUGCUGACCAAAGCUAGUUUUGAGGAAGUUCCAGAUGCAGCUUCAAAAGAAUGAACCUAGAAUUAGGCCACUUUACAUUCUUAUGACUUCUAAACUUUUGUCAGGUACCUCAUACUGCACUAGAACCGACAGAAUAGACGAUAAUACCUGAAUUGCAUUACUUGGUGAGGGUUCUUGGGUCCUAGUAAUAAACUUUAACCAAUUGAUAGUGAUAUAUCCUUUCCAGCCACACCAAAUCAACAGCCAAAACCCGGUCCAUCUUAAGUUGUUUUUCCAGUAAGAUGCACAAGCUUUACAGUGGGAAAAAAGUAUCCCCAUUUGAUCUCAGAAGGGUUAUACUAGUUCCAGGCCAAAGAACUUACUUUAAAACUACACUCCUAAAGAAAUUUAAUACAGUCAAUGGGAAUCAAACUGGGUAUUACAAAUUAUCUUUGAUGAAGUCAUUUACACACCUCCAGUUGAUACUACUAGAGACAUUUGGAAUCAAUAAGAAAAUAAAAAUAAAGCAAGUGUAAGAAAACUAUCAGGAGUGUGAUUUAA